Molecule: long non-coding RNA, 3032 nt
Filed under: Homo sapiens (human)
Lineage: Eukaryota; Metazoa; Chordata; Mammalia; Primates; Hominidae
Description: non-protein coding lnc-ABCA5-9:2
Source: RNAcentral
UUUUAAUUUUGAUGAAGUCAAAUUUAUCUAUUCUUCCUUUUGUUGUUUUUGGUUAUGUCUAAUAAACUACAGCCUAAUCCACUAUCACAAAGAUGUACUCUUCUGUUUUCUACUAAGAGUUGUAUAGUUUUAGCUCUUACAUUUAGAUUUUUAUCUAUUUUUGAGAGCAACUCGUUUCUGGUGAACCACUUUGGAGUAGACUACUUCUAAAAUAGCCCCCAGUGAUCCUUGCCUUCUGGUAGGUAUGUUCUUGUGUAACCCCUCACCAUGGGUGGCCUAGACCUAAUGACUUCCUUCUAAGUAACAAAAGUGAUGGGCUAUUACUUCUGAAAGUAGGUUAUAAAAGGCUGUGACUUCUAUGGCUUUUGGCAUGAAAUGUUAUUGGUGUUUUGGUCUACAACUAAAGAGACAUUGUGCCUCUAUCAAUACAAUUCUUAUUAAAAUGUAUAAAUGGUUCUAUCAAUAUAAUUCUUUUUAAAAUGUAUAAAUGGUACAGAUAGGCAAGAGUGUAAAGGACAAGCAAGCCAGCUCUGAGCCAGAACUGCUUUUAUUCUGAAUUAGUUGUUCUGGAGUCAGGUAAAAAUCUUUCCUGAAUCCCUAAGACAAUCACUUUCCACCACUUGGAUAACACUAAGAAGGUUUUAGACCACAAGGGAAUCCGGGCACAGUGGCUCACGCCUGUAAUCCCAGCACUUUGGCAGGCCAAGGCAGGCAGAUCAUGUGGUCAGGAGUUCAAGACCAGCCUGGCCAAUGUGGUGAAACCCCGUCUCUACUAAAAAUACAAAACUUAGGGCCCGGUGUGGUCACACAUGCCUGUAAUCCAAGGGACUCGGGAGGCUCAGGCAUGAGAAUUGCUUGAACCCGGGAGGCAGAGGUUGCAGUGAGCCGAGAUUGUGCCAGUGCACUCCAGCCCGGGCAACAGAGCGAGACUGUCUCAAAAAAAAAUAAAAAGUCCCACUUACAUUAAAAUUUGAAGAGUCCCAGUGCAGGUGCUCACGUGCACACAUGCACACACAUACACACACAAACUGUAUAUUAACUGGAAUAUAUUUUUAAUAUAUAUUUAGUGUGGCAGAUGGUAAAGAUUAUUGUAUGAAACAACCAAAGAGGAGAGAUACUAGAAAAAAAUAGAAAAAAAUCAGAAACACUAAUAGCAUGAAAUGAUGGAGAGUGUCCUAGCAUAUCUUCUCUGUACCUUGUUUUUGUCAUUUGUUAUUUCUGUAAUCUGAGAAAAAUCAUACUUUAUUUCUCCAAGCCCCUGGUUGAUCUUCUGCAACAUGGGAAUGGUAGCAUGGAUUCUGGACGAUACAUGGAAGGAUGAAAUAACAAAAUAUGUGUAUAUGACUGGAGUUGAUCAAGCACUUUCUCGCUUUUCUUACCUCAAGGAUAUCACUAAUAUGAUUGUGACUGAAAAAUUUCUAACCACUCACAGGUGUGUUAAACAAUAGAUUGAAACCAAGUAACAACUAAGUAAUAUACAAAUAAUUAAAUGAAGAGUCAUUGGCUGGCAAAGAUAUAAAGAAAGUGUAAGAAAAACAAGAUGCUAGGAAGGUUGUAUUGUGUUUAAUAGGACAAAUUGAUCUACAUGUAACCAACAGGAUCUUAAAGUACUGUAACAAUCCAUCUUUUCCCCUGCCCCCAACUUCAAGUCAGGAAAUAGGAACCAAUUGAAAAGUAUUUCCUUGGCAUUUGGUCUCAAAUGAUCCUUAGAAAAUCUACAAAUGUGGACAUCUAUAGGCUCAUGAUUCUGAAAAGUUAUUUGACUCAAAAUUUUGGCUCUUGCUUUCCUCAUAUAUAAAGUGAUAGGCCAGGCACAGUGGCUCACGCCUGUAAUCCCAGCACUUUGGGAGGCCGAGGCGGGUGGAUCACGAGGCCAGGAGUUUGAGACCAGCCUGGCCAACGUGGUGAAACCCCGUCUCUACUAAAAAGUACAAAACUUAGUCAGGUGUGGCGGCGUGUGCCUGUAAUCCCAGCUACUCAGGAGGCUGAGGCAGGAGAAUUGCUUGAACCCGGGAGGCGGAGGUUGCAGUGAGCCGAGAUCGUGCCACUUCACUCCAGCUUGGGUGACAGAGCAAGACUCCGUCUCAGAAAAUAAAAUAAAAUAAAAUAAAAUGUGAUAAUGAUUAUCGUAAAAAUAAGGCAUUAUAGAGAGAGAGCCCCUAGCACAGUGCCUACCAGAAGAAUUGCCCUUCACUUCAUCCUUUCCCUCACUUCAUAUAUUCAGUUUCUGUGACCUGUAACUUCAACACAUACCACACCACCCAUUUCUUCUCAUCUUUACUCUUGUCACUUUAGUCUCUCCUCCUUUCAACUUAUUAUUCAUGUAGUGUAUUAGUCAGGGUUCUCCAGAGAAACAGAGCAAACAGCAUGUGUGUGAGAGAAAGAGAUUUACUUUAAGAAAUUGGCUCAUGUGAUUGUGGAGGCUGGCAAGGUGAAAACCUGUAGGGUAAGGUAGCAACCUUGAGAUCCAGGGAAGCUGAUGUUUCAGCUCAGGUCCAAAGACAGUCUGCAGGAAGAAUUUCUUCUUCCAGAGGAGACACCAGCCUUUUUUCUCUUAAGGCUUUCUAGUGAUUGGAUGAGGCUCACCUGCAUUUUCAAGAGUAAUCUGCAUUUCUCAAAGGGUUUUUUUUAAAGAAUAACUUCUAUUUUAGAUUCAGGAGGUACAUGGGCAGGUUUGUUACCUGGGUAUACUGCAUGAGGCUGAGAUUUGAGAUAUGAAUGAUCUCGUCACCCAGGUAGUGAGCAUAGUAACCAACAGUUAGUUUUUCCACCCUUGUUCCUUUCCUUUCCUCCCCACUCUAGUAGUUUCCAGGGUCUAUUGUUGCCAUCUUUAUGUCCAUAAUAGGCAAACAAAACCCUCUGUUGGCAAGAGUUUGAGAAAAUGGAAAUUUAUAUACACCUUUGUAGAAACUGUAAAUUGGUACUGUCUUCCUGGAGAAAUGGGUGUCUGUAGUUGAUAAUAAUAUACUGUGUACUUGAAAAACUGCUAAGGAUGUAGAUGUUAAAUGUUCUCACAACAAAAGUAAGUAUAU